This 390-nucleotide ribosomal RNA is filed under the name uncultured bacterium. RNAcentral describes it as "bacterial SSU rRNA". It matches the Rfam family "Bacterial small subunit ribosomal RNA", at positions 28 to 429 of the family's 1533-position model. The record is from RNAcentral.
GACGAACGCUGGCGGCGUGCUUAACACAUGCAAGUCGAGCGGUAAGGCCCUUCGGGUACACGAGCGGCGAACGGGUGAGUAACACGUGGGUGACCUGCCUCUAGCUCUGGGAUAAGCCUGGGAAACUGGGUCUAAUACCGGAUAUGACUCCACGGCGCAUGUUGUGGGGUGGAAAGCCUUGUGUGGCUAGAGAUGGGCCCGCGGCCUAUCAGCUUGUUGGUGGGGGAUGGCCUACCAAGGCGACGACGGUAGCCGGCCUGAGAGGGCGACCGGCCACACUGGGACUGAGACACGGCCCAGACUCCUACGGGAGGCAGCAGUGGGGAAUCUUGCGCAAUGGGCGAAAGCCUGACGCAGCGACGCCGCGUGAGGGAUGACGGCCUGUGUAAC